GCAGCGGUGGUUCAGUGGUCGAAUUCUUGCCUCCCACGCGGGAGACCUGGGUUCAAUUCCUGGCCAAUGCG
RNAcentral lists this transfer RNA (71 nucleotides) under Loxodonta africana (African savanna elephant). It matches the Rfam family "tRNA". From Rfam's summary of the family: Transfer RNA (tRNA) molecules are approximately 80 nucleotides in length. Their secondary structure includes four short double-helical elements and three loops (D, anti-codon, and T loops). Lineage: Eukaryota; Metazoa; Chordata; Mammalia; Proboscidea; Elephantidae. The record is from Rfam by way of RNAcentral.